This 585-nucleotide non-coding RNA is filed under the name Candidatus Hamiltonella defensa 5AT (Acyrthosiphon pisum). The record is from RNAcentral. Lineage: Bacteria; Pseudomonadati; Pseudomonadota; Gammaproteobacteria; Enterobacterales; Enterobacteriaceae.
GUGCUUCAAAAAGAACAUUCAGUGCAUUAGACCAAUGGAUGUGGAUCCGCCAACGUAGAUAUUUGUAUCGACGUCAUCCCAAUAAACACUGGUGGUGGCGAAGAAAACACUACUUAGGCAAGAUACCAGGUAGAGAAGACUAUUCAGUAUUUAUGGAUAAAUCAACCGGUGGAUUUCUUUGGAAGCAUGCAUGGACAAAAAUACAGCGUCAUUGGCUAGUUCCAAAAAAUGCUUCCCCCGACAAUCCGGAAUUGCGUGACUAUUGGCGUAAUAGGCAGGCACGUAAACAGCCUUUUAUUUACGGUGUCAAAGUUAACCUCUAUAAGCGACAGAAAGGUUAUUGUCCUCUCUGUGAUCAAGAGUUGGACAAUGGUGAACAAUUGCAUGUUCAUCAUAUUCAGCCUAAAGCUGAAGGGGGUGACAACAAGCUGGCUAAUCUAAGAUUGUUACAUGCUAAUUGCCACAGACAAUUACAUAGCAAAAAAGGAAAAAUGUUGAAGUGAGUAAGUUGCGUGAGCCGUAUGCGGGGUAACUCGCACGUACGGUUCUUGAGGGAGUGGGCACUUGCGGCCUGCUUACCUAAUC